GCCGCUGUAGCUCAGUAGGUAGAGCGCAUCCUUGGUAAGGAUGAGGUCACCAGUUCAAUCCUGGUCAGUGGCUCCA
This 76-nucleotide transfer RNA is filed under the name Candidatus Formimonas warabiya. Its description in RNAcentral is "Peptococcaceae bacterium DCMF tRNA-Thr". It matches the Rfam family "tRNA". From Rfam's summary of the family: Transfer RNA (tRNA) molecules are approximately 80 nucleotides in length. Lineage: Bacteria; Bacillati; Bacillota; Clostridia; Eubacteriales; Peptococcaceae. RNAcentral also lists the same sequence under 2 other names. The record is from RNAcentral.